RNAcentral lists this ribosomal RNA (76 nucleotides) under Escherichia coli. RNAcentral's name for it is "partial 16S ribosomal RNA". It matches the Rfam family "Bacterial small subunit ribosomal RNA", at positions 1 to 74 of the family's 1533-position model. RNAcentral also lists the same sequence under 55 other names. The record is from RNAcentral. Lineage: Bacteria; Pseudomonadati; Pseudomonadota; Gammaproteobacteria; Enterobacterales; Enterobacteriaceae.
UUAAAUUGAAGAGUUUGAUCAUGGCUCAGAUUGAACGCUGGCGGCAGGCCUAACACAUGCAAGUCGAACGGUAACA